GUGCUAUACAUGCAGUUGAGCGCUGAAGGUUGGUACUUGUACCGACUGGAUGAGCAGCGAACGGGUGAGUAACGCGUGGGGAAUCUGCCUUUGAGCGGGGGACAACAUUUGGAAACGAAUGCUAAUACCGCAUAAAAACUUUAAACACAAGUUUUAAGUUUGAAAGAUGCAAUUGCAUCACUCAAAGAUGAUCCCGCGUUGUAUUAGCUAGUUGGUGAGGUAAAGGCUCACCAAGGCGAUGAUACAUAGCCGACCUGAGAGGGUGAUCGGCCACAUUGGGACUGAGACACGGCCCAAACUCCUACGGGAGGCAGCAGUAGGGAAUCUUCGGCAAUGGACGAAAGUCUGACCGAGCAACGCCGCGUGAGUGAAGAAGGUUUUCGGAUCGUAAAACUCUGUUGGUAGAGAAGAACGUUGAUGAGAGUGGAAAGCUCAUCAAGUGACGGUAACUACCCAGAAAGGGACGGCUAACUACGUGCCAGCAGCCGCGGUAAUACGUAGGUCCCGAGCGUUGUCCGGAUUUAUUGGGCGUAAAGCGAGCGCAGGUGGUUUAUUAAGUCUGGUGUAAAAGGCAGUGGCUCAACCAUUGUAUGCAUUGGAAACUGGUAGACUUGAGUGCAGGAGAGGAGAGUGCAAUUCCAUGUGUAGCGGUGAAAUGCGUAUAUCUAUGGAGGAACAUCGGUGGUUAAAGCGGCUCUCUGGCCGGUAGCUGACCCUGAUUGUUGACCGCGUGGGGAGACACAGGGUUAGAUACACUGGAAAGACACGCUGUAGACAACGAUUGCCCGCUGUAUGGAUACACAAUUCCUCUGUAUCGCAGCAAAUGCACUCUGCUCUCCUGCAGGCGAGUCCAACCGUUUCGUUGCACUCAUGGUAGAGACAGUGCCCCUUCACACCCGACUUAGCAAGCCACCUGCUCUCGCUUUACGCCCAGUAACAUUCAGGACGACGUCGAGGACUCUACGUAUUACCUCGAG
RNAcentral lists this ribosomal RNA (977 nucleotides) under Lactococcus lactis subsp. lactis. RNAcentral's name for it is "bacterial SSU rRNA". The stretch from base 1 to 842 matches the Rfam family "Bacterial small subunit ribosomal RNA", at positions 44 to 873 of the family's 1533-position model. Lineage: Bacteria; Bacillati; Bacillota; Bacilli; Lactobacillales; Streptococcaceae. The record is from RNAcentral.